Molecule: long non-coding RNA, 460 nt
Filed under: Solanum tuberosum (potato)
Lineage: Eukaryota; Viridiplantae; Streptophyta; Magnoliopsida; Solanales; Solanaceae
Description: long non-coding RNA (STUB_LNC002294)
Source: RNAcentral
AAGAAUCGAAAGAAUAAUGGAAAAAACUACCAAUAUAGGUUAUUUUGAAGAGUUGGACACAUUACCGAAAAAUUGGGGAAGAAGGGGAAGCAAAACUUACUAUAACUAAGGAUUAGAGCAACUGUUGAGGAGAAAUCGAUGGAAACAAUGAAAGAGCUAAAGUCGAUAGACAGCAAACAUACAGAUCCCUAAAAGUGCCCUUGUUCAUCCGGCAGAAAUCCCCUAAAUUUAAUGAUGCUGGGGAGAUGUUGAAUGCUUGUAGAGUUGUUAAAACUCUUAUCUCAAAUUAGCCGCAAGAAAUUUAACAAAAUGAUGAAGAAAGAUGGAGCAAAAGUAAGGAAGAGGAGAGUAAAAUUGCAGAGAAAAUGAACAUGAGAAAUGUGAGUCAAAGCAGCAAAAAAGGAAAGUAAAAUUGUACAGAUAGCUAAUUACCCUUACGUGGAUCGAGGUAGAACACGUG